RNAcentral lists this ribosomal RNA (417 nucleotides) under uncultured Glomeromycotina. RNAcentral's name for it is "SSU rRNA". It matches the Rfam family "Eukaryotic small subunit ribosomal RNA", at positions 677 to 1092 of the family's 1831-position model. Lineage: Eukaryota; Fungi; Glomeromycota. The record is from RNAcentral.
GUACUGGCAUUGUUGGUUUCUCCCUUCUGACGAACCAUGAUGUCAUUUAUUUGGUGUUGUGGGGAAUCAGGACUGUUACUUUGAAAAAAUUAUAGUGUUUAAAGCAGGCUCACGCUUGAAUACAUUAGCAUGGAAUAAUGAAAUAGGACGUUUGAUUCUAUUUUGUUGGUUUCUAGGAUCGACGUAAUGAUUAAUAGGGAUAGUUGGGGGCAUUAGUAUUCAAUUGUCAGAGGUGAAAUUCUUGGAUUUAUUGAAGACUAACUACUGCGAAAGCAUUUGCCAAGGAUGUUUUCAUUAAUCAAGAACGAAAGUUAGGGGAUCGAAGAUGAUCAGAUACCGUCGUAGUCUUAACCAUAAACUAUGCCGACUAGGGAUCGGAUGAUGUUAAUUUUUUAAUGACUCAUUCGGCGCCUUACG